Pezoporus flaviventris is the source of this 2193-nucleotide long non-coding RNA. RefSeq lists it as uncharacterized. The transcript is spliced from 3 exons. NCBI's taxonomy places the organism in Eukaryota, Metazoa, Chordata, Aves, Psittaciformes, Psittacidae. The record is from RefSeq and is a predicted model, not a curated record.
AAAGAGAAAGGGACAGGUUGCUUGCAUAACCUCAGUGCAUUACUUUUUUGACAGUGGACAGGUCAUGCUUUUAGGAUGGAUUUAAACAGCUGCCUUGGACUGAAUCAAUAUGAAACUUAUUUGCCCAACUAGCUUGCAUAGCACGUGUAAAUGAUGAUUUCUUGCUUGCCUUGCCCUUUAAUAGCAGAAUAAGCUGCUCUGAUUUGGUAUUUCUUUCUAAUUGCUAUCUAUCUCCUUCACUUGCAGCCUCUCAUUUGUAUAGCCUUUCUAGGGCUAGCACAGCUGUGUUGAGCAAUUAGAUGUGGUCCUGUAGAAGUAUAUUUGGGAUGGAUGUUACUGCAGAGUGCUGAUGUAGCUCAUGCUAGCUUGAAUCUGUGCAUCAGAAUGUGCUGAGCGGUCUAGAUUUGGCACUGAAGGAUGUUAACUGGAACAAGAGUCACUUGCCAGAAUAACCAUUGAAUGUAGGGCUCUGAAAUCAAGAUUUUCUGUGAGAUGAUAGUAACCACAUUUCUUCCAGUGGCUUAUCACUGGAGAUAUGGCAAAUUGUCUUGGAUAGUCCCCGAGCUGGUAAACUCUUUAAUACUGUCAGCUUUGUGUUUUGUCUCAUGUUAUGUUAAUUGCUUAGUGCACUAUAGAAAUAAGAAAGAUUGAAUUUUCCAGAAUCCACUUUAACCUGUUUUGGGACAGUCCCAGUUGUUUCAGCACAGAAAAACUAGGCUUUAUUAAUUUAUUUGUGUCUAAUCCCUUCAACUACAAAGUUGGCAGCACACACAGAGAACAUGUGCCAACAUCAGCACUUCCUUUUAAAUAAACAGCAAACUUAGAUAACAUUUACAUGUUACAAAGAAGUGGUUCAUUUGAUAUUUUCUUUCCCUAUUACAGUUGAGCUAUUGGACUGAAUUCCUUCUUGCUUUAGACCACAUAAGAGAAAUACAUAUAACAUCAUUUAAAAGCAAAAAAUCCUUAAAAAGUGAAAUUAGGAAAUGUUUUUUCUUUCUCAGAUAGCAUUUUGUCUCUGGGAAAAUACAUUUUGAGAUAUGAGCUCACCCAAUAACUGUGGUAGAAAAAAAGUGCCCAAAUUUUAAAUACCCUGUCAGAAUUUCUGUUUGUAAUUGCAGCUAUGAUGAAUAUAAUAUCCACUGAUUUGGAUCAGCUAAAGCAUCUAGCAUAACCUGCUCUGGAUCAGGGAGCUGGGUAGAGCAAAAUUCAUUUGCAUUGGAGAAAGGAGAAUAGGUUAUGCUAAUUUUCUGUCACUAUACCUGCAUCUAGCCAACAGUGUAUUUGUAUAAAUAUUUUGGUUAACCUAUCAGAAGUCAUAUUAGAUUGACAGAACACUUGUGCGUAUGUUAAGCCUAAAAUACUCCCAAGUAGCUGUACAACAACUUGUGAAGCUCUUACUCCUACUAGCUUUUAGGUUAUGUUAGAUUGAUUCUGAACCCCUAUGUACUACUUGGUUUUAAGUAUGUCAUGUUAAUGUCCUCUCACUCUAAAGAAAAUAUUCAAAGAUGUUCCAGUGAUUUGAAAUAGAGCUUCCAGACUUUUCUAGACAGGACCCUUUGGAGCAUCAACAGCAUCCCUCGCAAUUGUGGGAUGAAGAAGGGACAAUGUGCAUUUUGUGCACUGCAUUUUUGAUCCUAAAUCAAACAAGUUUUAUAUCUUGGAUACAUGUGAUCCUGCUGACCAGACCGGUAUCAAUCAUAAAGCUACAGGCAUUUCUCUGGAAGAGAUUUUCAGGGAGGAAGGAGAGAACAAGCCUCAGACUGAACUCCUGCAUCUAGAACAGACAUGAUUUAUGUGUAAUGAAAAGCCACAUGAAUAAAACUCCCCAAAUGGAUAUAAAAAAUUCAGAUCCAAAAUGAUAUUUUUUGACAGAAUGGAUGUGGAGAGCAGAGGAUGAAGUUGAAGAAAUCUAAUAUAUGGAUAUGCCAAAGGAAAGGUUGGGAUCCAAUUAAAGAAGAUCAGGGAAGACAGAACUGGACAAGACAGAAUGCUGGGUUGUUCCUUUUGCUCCCAGAAGGAUGAACAGAACAUUGACCAUCCCCAGUAGGUACAGUUUUACCUAGUUUCUUCCUCUUCCCCCUCCCCAGUCUUCCAAAUGAAUGAAAGGAAGAAAUUAUCACAAUACUUUUACCCUGAUAAAUAUUUGGUUGGAUUUUAGUUACUUCCACAGUUGGAAAAAUAAAUUAGUAAGUC